AGGUCAAGCUACAAAGGCGCAUGGUGAAUGCCUUGGCACUAGGAGCCGAAGAAGGACGCGAUAAGCUGCGAUAAGCCUUGGGUAGCCGCAAAUAGGCUGAGAUCCAGGGAUUUCCGAAUGAGGAAACUCACAUGGGUAACCCCAUGUAUCAUGCACUGAAUACAUAGGUGUAUGAGGGUAAACCCGGGGAACUGAAACAUCUAAGUACCCGGAGGAAGAGAAAGAAAAAUCGAUUUCCUAAGUAGCGGCGAGCGAACGGGAAAGAGCCCAAACCAGAAACUUGUUUCUGGGGUUGUGGAUAGAUCAUAAAAGAAGAGGUAUCUUAAUCGAAGAGGGCUGGAACGCCCUACCAUAGAAGGUAAUAGUCCUGUAGGUAAAAGAGAAAACUUCGAGAUCUAAUCCAGAGUACCACGAGACACGUGAAACCUUGUGGGAAGCAGGGAGGACCACCUCCCAAGGCUAAAUACUACCUAGUGACCGAUAGUGAAGCAGUACCGUGAGGGAAAGGUGAAAAGAACCCCGGAAGGGGAGUGAAAUAGAACCUGAAACCGUGUGCCUACAACCGAUCGGAGCACGUUAAAGUGUGACGAUGUGCUUUUUGUAGAACGAGCCAGCGAGUUACGCUAUGUAGCAAGGUUAAGUACUUAAGGUAUGGAGCCGAAGGGAAACCGAGUCUGAAAAGGGCGAAAAGUUGCAUGGUGUAGACCCGAAACCGGGUGACCUAUCCAUGGCCAGGUUGAAGCGAGAGUAAAAUCUCGUGGAGGACCGAACCACGUUGGUGUUGAAAAACCAUGGGAUGAGCUGUGGAUAGCGGAGAAAUUCCAAUCGAACUCGGAGAUAGCUGGUUCUCCUCGAAAUAGCUUUAGGGCUAGCGUCGUGUAAUUGAGUAAUGGAGGUAGAGCACUGAAUGGGCUAGGGGCUAUAGUAGUUACCGAACCCUAUCAAACUCCGAAUGCCAUAUACUUGUAUCACGGCAGUCAGACUGCGAAUGAUAAGAUCCGUAGUCAAAAGGGAAACAGCCCAGACCAUCAGCUAAGGUCCCAAAGUGUAAGUUAAGUGGAAAAGGAUGUGGGAUUUCUAAGACAACUAGGAUGUUGGCUUAGAAGCAGCCACUCAUUUAAAGAGUGCGUAAUAGCUCACUAGUCAAGAGAUCCUGCGCCGAAGAUGUCCGGGGCUCAAACUUACCACCGA
RNAcentral lists this ribosomal RNA (1191 nucleotides) under Clostridium sporogenes. RNAcentral's name for it is "bacterial LSU rRNA". It matches the Rfam family "Bacterial large subunit ribosomal RNA", at positions 1 to 1197 of the family's 2925-position model. Lineage: Bacteria; Bacillati; Bacillota; Clostridia; Eubacteriales; Clostridiaceae. The record is from RNAcentral.